Molecule: ribosomal RNA, 1728 nt
Filed under: Salmonella enterica subsp. enterica serovar Enteritidis
Lineage: Bacteria; Pseudomonadati; Pseudomonadota; Gammaproteobacteria; Enterobacterales; Enterobacteriaceae
Description: partial 23S ribosomal RNA
Rfam family: Bacterial large subunit ribosomal RNA
Source: RNAcentral
CUGUGUGUUGUUGGGUAGGGGAGCGUUCUGUAAGCCUGCGAAGGUGGCCUGUGAGGGUUGCUGGAGGUAUCAGAAGUGCGAAUGCUGACAUAAGUAACGAUAAAGCGGGUGAAAAGCCCGCUCGCCGGAAGACCAAGGGUUCCUGUCCAACGUUAAUCGGGGCAGGGUGAGUCGACCCCUAAGGCGAGGCCGAAAGGCGUAGUCGAUGGGAAACGGGUUAAUAUUCCCGUACUUGGUGUUACUGCGAAGGGGGGACGGAGAAGGCUAUGUUGGCCGGGCGACGGUUGUCCCGGUUUAAGCGUGUAGGUGUGUGUUCCAGGUAAAUCCGGUUCACUUUAACACUGAGGCGUGACGACGAGGCACUACGGUGCUGAAGCAACAAAUGCCCUGCUUCCAGGAAAAGCCUCUAAGCAUCAGGUAACAUCAAAUCGUACCCCAAACCGACACAGGUGGUCAGGUAGAGAAUACCAAGGCGCUUGAGAGAACUCGGGUGAAGGAACUAGGCAAAAUGGUGCCGUAACUUCGGGAGAAGGCACGCUGACACGUAGGUGAAGUGAUUUACUCAUGGAGCUGAAGUCAGUCGAAGAUACCAGCUGGCUGCAACUGUUUAUUAAAAACACAGCACUGUGCAAACACGAAAGUGGACGUAUACGGUGUGACGCCUGCCCGGUGCCGGAAGGUUAAUUGAUGGGGUCAGCGCAAGCGAAGCUCCUGAUCGAAGCCCCGGUAAACGGCGGCCGUAACUAUAACGGUCCUAAGGUAGCGAAAUUCCUUGUCGGGUAAGUUCCGACCUGCACGAAUGGCGUAAUGAUGGCCAGGCUGUCUCCACCCGAGACUCAGUGAAAUUGAACUCGCUGUGAAGAUGCAGUGUACCCGCGGCAAGACGGAAAGACCCCGUGAACCUUUACUAUAGCUUGACACUGAACAUUGAGCCUUGAUGUGUAGGAUAGGUGGGAGGCUUUGAAGUGUGGACGCCAGUCUGCAUGGAGCCGACCUUGAAAUACCACCCUUUAAUGUUUGAUGUUCUAACGUGGACCCGUUACCCGGGUUGCGGACAGUGUCUGGUGGGUAGUUUGACUGGGGCGGUCUCCUCCUAAAGAGUAACGGAGGAGCACGAAGGUUGGCUAAUCCUGGUCGGACAUCAGGAGGUUAGUGCAAUGGCAUAAGCCAGCUUGACUGCGAGCGUGACGGCGCGAGCAGGUGCGAAAGCAGGUCAUAGUGAUCCGGUGGUUCUGAAUGGAAGGGCCAUCGCUCAACGGAUAAAAGGUACUCCGGGGAUAACAGGCUGAUACCGCCCAAGAGUUCAUAUCGACGGCGGUGUUUGGCACCUCGAUGUCGGCUCAUCACAUCCUGGGGCUGAAGUAGGUCCCAAGGGUAUGGCUGUUCGCCAUUUAAAGUGGUACGCGAGCUGGGUUUAGAACGUCGUGAGACAGUUCGGUCCCUAUCUGCCGUGGGCGCUGGAGAACUGAGGGGGGCUGCUCCUAGUACGAGAGGACCGGAGUGGACGCAUCACUGGUGUUCGGGUUGUCAUGCCAAUGGCACUGCCCGGUAGCUAAAUGCGGAAGAGAUAAGUGCUGAAAGCAUCUAAGCACGAAACUUGCCCCGAGAUGAGUUCUCCCUGAGACUUAAAGUCUCCUGAAGGAACGUUGAAGACGACGACGUUGAUAGGCCGGGUGUGUAAGCGCAGCGAUGCGUUGAGCUAACCGGUACUAAUGAACCGUGAGGCUU